This 67-nucleotide transfer RNA is filed under the name Varuna litterata. RNAcentral describes it as "tRNA-Leu". The record is from RNAcentral. Lineage: Eukaryota; Metazoa; Arthropoda; Malacostraca; Decapoda; Varunidae.
ACUAUUUUGGCAGAUAAUAUGUGUUGGACUUAGGAUCCGGUAAUAUAGAGGAAUUCUAUAAAUAGUU